AUUGAACGCUGGCGGCAGGCCUAACACAUGCAAGUCGAACGGUAGCAGGAAGAAGCUUGCUUCUUUGCUGACGAGUGGCGGACGGGUGAGUAAUGUCUGGGAAACUGCCUGAUGGAGGGGGAUAACUACUGGAAACGGUAGCUAAUACCGCAUAACGUCGCAAGACCAAAGAGGGGGACCUUCGGGCCUCUUGCCAUCGGAUGUGCCCAGAUGGGAUUAGCUAGUAGGUGGGGUAACGGCUCACCUAGGCGACGAUCCCUAGCUGGUCUGAGAGGAUGACCAGCCACACUGGAACUGAGACACGGUCCAGACUCCUACGGGAGGCAGCGGUGGGGAAUAUUGCACAAUGGGCGCAAGCCUGAUGCAGCCAUGCCGCGUGUAUGAAGAAGGCCUUCGGGUUGUAAAGUACUUUCAGCGGGGAGGAAGGGAGUAAAGUUAAUACCUUUGCUCAUUGACGUUACCCGCAGAAGAAGCACCGGCUAACUCCGUG
This 490-nucleotide ribosomal RNA is filed under the name uncultured bacterium. RNAcentral describes it as "partial 16S ribosomal RNA". It matches the Rfam family "Bacterial small subunit ribosomal RNA", at positions 30 to 507 of the family's 1533-position model. The record is from RNAcentral.